Molecule: ribosomal RNA, 485 nt
Filed under: uncultured bacterium
Lineage: Bacteria
Description: bacterial SSU rRNA
Rfam family: Bacterial small subunit ribosomal RNA
Source: RNAcentral
AGAGUUUGAUCAUGGCUCAGAAUCAACGCUGGCGGCGUGCCUCAGACAUGCAAGUCGAACGAUUAAAGCUCUCUUCGGAGAGUGUAUAGAGUGGCGCACGGGUGAGUAACACGUAAGUAAUCUACCCUCGAGUGGGGAAUAACAACCGGAAACGGUUGCUAAUACCGCAUAAUGCAGCGGCACCGCAAGGUGACAGUUGUUAAAGAUUUAUCGCUUGAGGAGGAGCUUGCGGCAGAUUAGCUAGUUGGUAGGGUAACGGCUUACCAAGGCUACGAUCUGUAACCGGUCUAAGAGGACGGUCGGUCACACUGACACUGAAUAACGGGUCAGACUCCUGCGGGAGGCAGCAGUCGGGAAUUUUGGGCAAUGGGCGAAAGCCUGACCCAGCAACGCCGCGUGAAGGAUGAAGUAUUACGGUAUGUAAACUUCGAAAGAAUAGGAAGAAUUAAUGACGGUACUAUUUAUAAGGUCCGGCUAACUACGUG